Molecule: ribosomal RNA, 531 nt
Filed under: uncultured bacterium
Lineage: Bacteria
Description: bacterial SSU rRNA
Rfam family: Bacterial small subunit ribosomal RNA
Source: RNAcentral
CCUUGACAUACUAAGAACUUUCCAGAGAUGGAUUGGUGCCUUCGGGAACUUAGAUACAGGUGCUGCAUGGCUGUCGUCAGCUCGUGUCGUGAGAUGUUGGGUUAAGUCCCGCAACGAGCGCAACCCUUUUCCUUAUUUGCCAGCGGGUCAUGCCGGGAACUUUAAGGAUACUGCCAGUGACAAACUGGAGGAAGGCGGGGACGACGUCAAGUCAUCAUGGCCCUUACGGCCAGGGCUACAUACGUGCUACAAUGGUCGGUACAAAGGGUUGCUACCUCGCGAGAGGAUGCUAAUCUCAAAAAGCCGAUCGUAGUCCGGAUCGCAGUCUGCAACUCGACUGCGUGAAGUCGGAAUCGCUAGUAAUCGCGGAUCAGAAUGCCGCGGUGAAUACGUUCCCGGGCCUUGUACACACCGCCCGUCACACCAUGGGAGUUUGUUGCACCAGAAGUAGGUAGUCUAACCGCAAGGAGGACGCUUACCACGGUGUGGCCGAUGACUGGGGUGAAGUCGUAACAAGGUAGGCGUAGAUGA